This 18-nucleotide ribosomal RNA is filed under the name Symbiodinium sp. ex Montipora digitata. RNAcentral describes it as "partial 24S ribosomal RNA". The record is from RNAcentral. RNAcentral also lists the same sequence under 3 other names. Lineage: Eukaryota; Dinophyceae; Suessiales; Symbiodiniaceae.
UCUAGCAUGAAGUCAGAC